Molecule: ribosomal RNA, 280 nt
Filed under: uncultured Mycobacterium sp.
Lineage: Bacteria; Bacillati; Actinomycetota; Actinomycetes; Mycobacteriales; Mycobacteriaceae
Description: partial 16S ribosomal RNA
Rfam family: Bacterial small subunit ribosomal RNA
Source: RNAcentral
UAGGUGGUUUGUCGCGUUGUCCGUGAAAACUCACAACUCAAUUGUGGGCGUGCGGGCGAUACGGGCAGACUGGAGUACUGCAGGGGAGACUGGAAUUCCUGGUGUAGCGGUGGAAUGCGCAGAUAUCAGGAGGAACACCGGUGGCGAAGGCGGGUCUCUGGGCAGUAACUGACGCUGAGGAGCGAAAGCGUGGGGAGCGAACAGGAUUAGAUACCCUGGUAGUCCACGCCGUAAACGGUGGGUACUAGGUGUGGGUUUCCUUCCUUGGGAUCCGUGCCGU